Molecule: long non-coding RNA, 1588 nt
Filed under: Homo sapiens (human)
Lineage: Eukaryota; Metazoa; Chordata; Mammalia; Primates; Hominidae
Description: non-protein coding lnc-NPIPB5-6:1
Source: RNAcentral
UUCUAAAGCUAGGCACGCCCAUGUGGGCAGACUGAAUUCAACCUUCUUUCCCAUGACCAACACUCUCCUGACCUCUAGGAAGCCACAAAAUCGUUGCAGAGAAGGAAAAGCCUUCUAUAUUGUUUCCCCCACCAAAAAAAAAAAAAAAAAAGAAGAAGAAGAAGAAGAAGAAAAGACAAAGCCUAAAGUUUUUAAAAUCCCGGUGCUUUCCGGGAAGCGUUCGGGAGAAAAGUGUGUGGCCGCACUAGUGGAGAUCCCCGCCGACAGGACCCGCCUCUCUCCCCAGGCCCGGCGGGGCCGACCCCGCUUCUCGCUCCCAGCAUACCGUGCGAUAGCGGCGGCGCGGCCAGCGGAGCCGGGAGGCGGGUUAGCAGUGGCCUUGUGAGCGUGAGGAGCUGCCGCCACCGCCUGCUCCUCGUCGUCCUCGUCCUCCGCGGCCCCGGCGACGUGGGCCGCGCACGGCCCUGGAAGAGACGUCGCCUCCCCUUCAUCCACCUCUCUCUCACCGCGCCGCUCCCGCCUCCUCGUCCUGUGCUGCGGGCUCAGGCGGAACCCGGAACGGUCGUCCUCUUCCCCCGCCCGCCGCCGCCUCCUCCUUCUCCUCCUUCUCGGCUUCCUCCUCAGCCCCGGGCCGGAGCGGGGUGUUGGCGGCGGCCGGUUCGGGCGGCGACUCGCGCUUCUCUGGGCGGCGGCGCUUGGCCAUGUCGUGUCGGGGAAGGUAAUGAGCCGCAGAGCCCCGGGGUCUCGGCUGAGCGGCGGCGGCGGCACCAACGGCACCAACUAUUCGCGGAGCUGGAAUGACUGGCAACCCAGAUUGACUUGAUGCACAACAUCACAAAGGCGAUUUUUGAGAACUGAUAGUGCAUCAGCCGACCCAGGUAAUUUAAAAUAUUCUUCAUCCAGAGAUAGAGGUGGUUCUUCCUCUUACGGACUGCAACCUUCAAAUUCAGCUGUGGUGUCUCGGCAAAGGCACGAUGAUACCAGAGUCCACGCUGACAUACAGAAUGACGAAAAGGAGAGAUCGAUGUCUUAUUGUGAUGAGUCUCGACUGUCAUAUCUUCUUCGGAGGAUCACCCGGGAAAACGACCGAGACCGAAGAUUGGCUACUGUAAAGCAGUUGAAAGAAUUUAUUCAGCAACCAGAAAAUAAGCUGGUACUAGUUAAACAAUUGGAUAUCUUGGCUGCUGUACAUGAUGUGCUUAAUGAAAGUAGCAAAUUGCUUCAGGAGUUGAGACAGGAGGGAGCUUGCUGUCUCGGCCUUCUUUGUGCUUCUCUGAGCUAUGAGGCUGAGAAGAUCUUCAAGUGGAUUUUUAGCAAAUUUAGCUCAUCUGCAAAAGAUGAAGUUAAACUCCUCUACUUAUGUGCCACCUACAAAGCACUAGAGACUGUAGGAGAAAAGAAAGCCUUUUCAUCUGUAAUGCAGCUUGUAAUGACCAGCCUGCAGUCAAUUCUUGAAAAUGUGGAUACACCAGAAUUGCUUUGCAAAUGUGUUAAGUGCAUUCUUUUGGUGGCUCGAUGUUACCCUCAUAUUUUCAGCACUAAUUUUAGGGUGAGUUCCUCAUUCCGCUGUUCAGAUCAUGGGGUGAGG